Molecule: long non-coding RNA, 1650 nt
Organism: Sarcophilus harrisii (Tasmanian devil)
Lineage: Eukaryota; Metazoa; Chordata; Mammalia; Dasyuromorphia; Dasyuridae
Source: Ensembl
CUGACCUUAGGCAUUUACUAGCCAUGUGACCCUAGGCAAGUCACUUAGUUCUUUUUGUUUCAGUUUUCUCAUUUUUAAAAUAGAAAGAAAUGGCAAACCACUUUAGUAUCUUUACCCCAAAAUGGGAUCACGAAAAGUUGGACAAGACUGAAACAACAAAACCUUAGCGAUACCCUACUUUCACAGUACUACAGUUUCUGAAACCCAACAGAAAAUCCCUUGGGGACAAGAAGUCUCCUACUCCAGCUUCCUUGUUAGAGCUUGUUUCAUGUUUUGAGGUUAGAGCAGAAAUUCAGGGGGCUGCUAAGUGGUACAGUGGGAAGAGCACUGGCCUUCCAGUCAAGAAGACCUACAUUCAAAUCCAGCCUCAGACACUUAAAACAUCCUAAUUGUGUGACUGAGCAAGUCACUUAGCCCCAAUUUCCUCACCAAAAUAAAGAGUAGAAAUUCAGAGAACAUAGGAGCAAGUGUGCUGAAACAUUGCAGUACAGUAAAAACAACGCUGGUUCUGGAGGAUCUAUUUUAAAUUUUACAUUUGCGGCUUACUUAAAUUAUUCUUUAAUUUCUCUGGACCUCAGUUUCCUCAUAUAAGGGAAUUGGACUAAAGCUUGUCAGGGAUCCUUCUAUUUCUAGGUCUAUGAUACUAUGAACCCUGAAAUUGGGGCACAGAAAAUGUGGUGGGUUCUGUAGGUACAGAACUCAUAACUGCAUGGCAUCCUCCAUUGGGUAAAUGAAGCAGGAAGUGAUGACAACAUUAAUAGCAUAAAGACUCAUAUAUGUCUGGGUAGUUCACUAUUCCUGAGUAUGAGUAUUUGUCUAUAUCAACAUUUUCUGAUUCCCAAUCACUAGAUUAAAUACUUCUCUCUAUUUAGUAUUACUAUUUUGUUAUUUUUGUUAUACUAACAUUAACCAUUGUUUGAUACUGCUGGUAUUCAGAAUGCAUUUGACUGUGCCACUGAAGUAAAGUCAGAAACAUGAAUAUCAAAUCCAAGUUCUAAGACACAAGCCAGCUCUAGUUAGUUAGGAUCACAAUGGGAAAUAGUAAAAAAGAUCCUAAAUCAUUCCUCCUUAUUCAAAUGAAAUAUUUAUAAAAACUCCUUAGCACAGUGCUUGGCACAAUAGAUACUUAAUGCUAGUUCCUUUCCUCCUUUAUCCAUAGGCAGAGGGUUUAGAUGCAGCUGCCUAUGUGGCUUCUGCCUAAAGCUGCCUUUACUGAAAUUAGAACUGUCAGGGCAAAUUCCUGACAUCUGGCAAGUCUACCUGAGCAGCUGGAUAUAGGACAGUCACCAGGGGACCAUUGCAGUGACAGGAGAUUUCAGCCUGUGGUUAUUAAUGACAGUAUAAUGAUCAUAAUAACCAGAACAUCCAUUCUUUUCCACCUGCUUCCAUGCAGGCAAGACCUGCACACUCGACAUAAGCUGUAACUCCACACAGGGUUAUUUCACCCACAGGAGAUAUUUCAGCCCAGGAACACCUGUUGAAAAUGUAUAAUCAUGCUAAUAAAAUCAAGAAGAGAAACUCUGAAGCAUCAAUGCAAGUGAAUUCCAGAUAAUGCUAUUAUAGAAAUAGAUACAGAUGUCUCUAGGAGUAACAUAAACCAGAGGAAUAUAAGAGUUCUAAGGUCUGUCAAAUUAUUUUUUAAGAAAUAUU